Eptesicus fuscus (big brown bat) is the source of this 391-nucleotide long non-coding RNA. RefSeq lists it as uncharacterized. NCBI's taxonomy places the organism in Eukaryota, Metazoa, Chordata, Mammalia, Chiroptera, Vespertilionidae. The transcript has 4 exons. The record is from RefSeq and is a predicted model, not a curated record.
UUAGGGCCAACGCACACCCCGGCUGCCGCGGACCCGUAAGGCCGUGGGAUCCUCGCACCAACGCGAAGAUGGCCCCGUGCCCGAGGGGACAUAGUGGGGCAUAGGAGAAAUUGGAGGUGGCAGUAAAUGCAGGGGUAAAGAGGAAAACUGAAAAGAACAACAACAACAAAAAAAACCACGCAUACAAGCUUUCUGCUCUGAUCACUUCUUUGGAUUGCCAUUCUCUUGUCAGGUCUCCCACAUAAACGUAAAAAUUCAAUUAAAUGAGGUGGGGCUUACCUCACAAAGCUCUGCUGGGGUCAUACUAAGAUAGCCCAAGCCAGUGCCAGGGCCUGCAGGCACAGUGAGAUCCAGCAGGCAGAAAUCGGUGGUGAGUAGCUGGCAGGUGAGU